Mya arenaria is the source of this 4298-nucleotide long non-coding RNA. RefSeq lists it as uncharacterized. Lineage: Eukaryota; Metazoa; Mollusca; Bivalvia; Myida; Myidae. The record is from RefSeq and is a predicted model, not a curated record. The transcript has 4 exons.
ACACAUUCGAGUACUGUACACCACAGCGAACAAAAAUGCUGGUUUGUAAAACCUUGGAAGAGGCUUUAAGGAAAAUCCAGGAGCUGGAAAUGCAAGAUAAUUUGUGCCUGACUCUAGUACGAAGAAUUUUGGGAAGACGAUUUGGCCUAAAAAGACCUGUAGCAGUUAACAAGCUAUUAGAUGAACAAUAGCACAAAAUGACCACCACCACUAUCACCCUAAAGUGUGUGCUUGGUGUCUGUCUACACGUGCUUGCUUCUGGAAUGUUGAAGAACAAACUGUGUUGAAACGCCAACUGGAGUUGGUCAUGGACCUUUGCAGCCCUUCAUCCAGAGCCUUCCACAGAGAUGGCAGAUAUAUCGCUGCCUGGACCAACAGUUGACCAUGCCGUUGAGUCCAUGAUAUCAGUAGCAGCCAUGAAAACAUCUACAGAAUUACAUCUGCCUAUUAAUGGAUACAUUCUGCACCACUUCCAUGUGCUGUCAGUUUGAAACGUCUCUACUCUGACAGAAGGAAGGAAAUGAAUACCCAGCAUUGUUCCUCAGGAAAAUCUCUUCAACAGGCUGUUGUCAGUUUGCAUGCUCUUUGGAUGGAAUUACCCUACCUUGGCUUGCAGAGAAUCUGUGAUAUAAAAGACCUCUUUUGUGCUGCAUUGUGUCAUUGAUUUAUUGACCUUAAAGAUGUUUUAUAUGUAUUAUGCCACUAUUGUAAAAACAAAUGGGCAUAUGUUUUAGCAUAUGUUUUCAAACAGACACAUUUAUAUUUCAAACAGACACAUUUAUAUUUUUGAAUAACUUGAAAAUACAUUUUGUAGGUUGACUUCACACCAUGAAACAUUAAUGGUAGGUUAUAUUUGACCAGAACAUGACAAGUAUUGUUUUCGGAGUUUUUUGGUCGAAGGUGAAGGUAAUGGCAAACAGUGGUUAUUCUGCACAAUGACCCUUGAAUUCUUUGACCUAGGACCAUUAAUAUUUAGUGAUUGAUAUAUCAGUCCAACUCAUAUGUGAAAGGGACAUGAUGAAAUUGAGCAAGAGCUUAUUAGCAUUGCAAAUUAUUAUUUGUGCAUUUUUAGCUCGACUAUUCGAAGAAUAGGUGGGCUAUACUAUCGUUAACAAUUCUGCGUUAAAGUUUUCAUUUUAUGUAAUAAAAUCAAGAGUUUUUAUCCAAUGGUAAUCAAACUUGGUCAGACUAUUUGUCGGCAUGUUAUCUUGAAGAUGUAUGAAUAUGGGUCAUCCUUGGUCAAAUUCUAGGUCACUAGGUCACAUCUUAGAGAAAAUAUUUCCAUGUCAUAAAUUUAACAUUUUUUUCAUAUCUUUAUGAAACUUGGUCAGAAUAUUUGUCUGCAUACUAUCUUGAAAGUUUUUUAAUAUGGGUCAUCCCGGGUCAAAUUCUAGGUCACUAGGUCAAAUCUUAGGAAAAUCAUUCCACAUCAUAAAUUGAACAAUUUUUGUCAAAUCUUUAUGAAACUUGGUCAGAAUAUUUGUCUGCAUAAUAUCUUAAAAGUUCUAUAAUAUGGGUCAUCCCCGGUCAAAACCUAGGUCACAAGGUCAAAUCUUAGAAGAAAGAAUUCCACAGUCAUAAAAAAAUCAUUAAUUUUAGUCAAAUCUUUUUUAAACUUGGUUUGAAUAUUUGUCUACAUGUUGUCUUAAUCAUUUGUGAAUAUAGGUCACCUCAGAUCAAAAACUAGGUCACUAGGUCAAAUCUUAGGAAAUACUUUCCUGAUGUCAUAAAAAAAAUCUAUGCUUACCAAAGCUAUCCAUAUCAGUUAAUAACUAAAUUCAAUUGUUACUUUAUUAACACACAUCCCAAUCAUGAAUUUCAGAUCUAACCAUAUUUUUCAAAAAUUUAAAUUUUAAUUAACUUUAAAAAUAUUUGUGUACAUGAAAUCUUAGAUGAUAAAGUGUGUCAUCUAGGGUCAAAAACUAGGUCUCUGGGACAGAUCUUAUUGGAAAAGCUGAUGUAUUUAUAAAAUGUUCGUUUUUCCUCACACAAAUGGAAUAGUUUCUGUUGAUCAGGUUAUUUGUAUGAAUGAUAUCUCCGAUAAAUAUAAAUAUGGGUCUUUUUGGUUAAAAAUACUAGGUCAUUAGCUCAAAUCCUAGGUUUGCAAAAUUGCAUUGUCAAAUAAAAAAUCAAGCUUUAUGCGGCGUUGCCGCGUUGGCGUCUUGUUAUUUUUUUAUUUUGACCGGCACAUUUUUAUAAUCUUAACCAAAUCAAACCUUGUUUUGUCACAUUGUGAUUCUUAUUCACUUUUUUUAUUUGAUUGUUUUAUUGCUUUUUACAGGCACAUAUCAUACUAUUAUUGUAUUUACGUCCAAUUCCAUGAGGCGUAGUAGAGCGCACUGUUUUACGACAGCUCUUGUUAACCUGUAAAGUGAAACCUGGUUAUAAAAAUGACAUGACUGUGUCAUUGUGUUGGCAGGCCAGGAGGAGGGCAGCAUCAAAUACAUCCACAAACUUAGUAUACAAAGUAUCAUAGAAUUGCUUUCGGGGCCCAUAGGAUCAAGGUCACUAAAACAAAAAAACUAUUGAAACUUAAUCGCACAACAAAGGCUUAAUUAAUUAGGUUUGUCUGUCAAUCAUUGAAAACUUGUUGUUUUUUUGCAUUGCAGCAUUUCAUGCUUAAUUUUUAUUUUGUCUCUUUAUUGCAUAUAACCUUUAUCAUUAUUGUAUUCAUUUCUAAGACAAAGCAGCAUAUAGUUGAGGGCACUGCCCCAUGACAGCUCUUGUAUAUCCUAAAAAGAAUACAAUAGUGAUAUACCCUGAUAUAGGUAGUUUUGGUACAUAAUCACGGUUUUAAUUUUAGCUUUACUGGCCAAAGAUCAGAAUAUCUGAUGUGAUGGUGAUGUGUACGUAGUAUGUGCUUCCUAGCGCCUGUAAACAAUUGCUUGUGAACACCAUACAGUCUUUAGUUAUGAUUGUAUCUCAAUAAAACAGUAUUUAGAUAUCCAAUAGAGCUCGGUUCCUUACGAAAACCAGUCAGAUCUGCCCAUGCAUGCCUAGAUUAUGGGCCUUGAAUGUCUGUGCGACUAUAAACAAUUGCUUGUGAACAUGGUACAGUCUUCAGUUUUAAUUGUAUAUAGAUGAAACUUGUACAGUAUUAAGAUAUCAAUUAGAGCUUGGUUCCUUUCGAAAACCAGAUCUGCCCAUGCAUGCCUAGAUUAUGGGCCUCAAAAGUAAAAAAAAAUGCUAUUUUUAGCCAAGUCUACAUGAGCGAAGUCUAUUUUUAGACAAGUUUACAUGUAAAGUCACAAAUUCAUGUGAAAAAUUGUUCAAAUUAGGCCCCUGGGGUCAUUAUUGGUGACGCCACUGGGUUCACCGGUUUGGUAUACUAAACUGGGAAAUGUUUGAAAAUCUUGGUCUGAAACAACUAUGCAGACCCUUGUUAUUUUGAAUAAGGAUUAUUUUAGUGGUCUGCUACCAUGGUUGUUCAAAUUAUGCCCCUAGGGUCAAAACUGGCACUGCCCCCAGGGGUCACAAGUUUUUAAGAAAUAUUUUCAAAAUCUUCUUGUUUCAAACCACAAGGCUCAUAUCUUUGAUAUUUGUUGUGGAGCAAUUAUAUGUAGACCGUCUAGCAAAACAGUUGAAAUUAUAUGCCCUGGGCCGGGGCCACCAUCCAUUUUGUCCUUUUAAAGCUACAAAAAUGAAAUUUUGACCAAUAGUACAGUUUUGUAGCAAAUUUUAUUCUCCUCAGAUGACCUUUACUUGGCACAUAUUAGAAUACUAGUAGUUCAUGCAACUAAUCUGCUUACAACACUUUCUGUUCUCAGAUGUUAAAUGUGCAACGUUUUAAGCUAGCCCAAACACAAAACGUGAACAAUAUGUUUGUUGGCUAUUACUCAUACAUACAUGCUCUGGAUCAAAAAUAACCACAUGAGCCAUGCCACUAGAGCAUAGGCACUCAUGGGCCUCUUGUUUUUUUUAGAAAAAAAGCAUACUGACCAACCCUAUUUAUUUUAGAGAAGUUAGCUGAAACUAAGAACUUUUUUUACCUUACUUUUAUAUUCGAUUGUGUAUUGCUAAGAUUUUUGCUUAAAGCUCCAUUUAAGGUAACUGUUCAUCUCAAAUGUAAUAGCUUUUGCCUUCAAACUUUUAAAAGUUCAUUGAACCAGUGGGUUCAUCAUGAUGCACAUCUGUAAAUGUUUCUCCCUAAUAUGGGCUUUUAUAUAUGCAAACAGAACAUUGAACAAUUGGCUUUACGUGUAAAGUAAACCCUGUCCAGAAUAUUUGUCAAAUUGCUGUGUCAGCACUUGUUUGAAUGGAUUUAUUUUAUUUUCAUAUUAUGAUUUCAAAUAAAGUAU